Molecule: long non-coding RNA, 383 nt
Filed under: Brassica napus (rape)
Lineage: Eukaryota; Viridiplantae; Streptophyta; Magnoliopsida; Brassicales; Brassicaceae
Description: long non-coding RNA (BNAP_LNC018051)
Source: RNAcentral
AAAACCGACCCAAACCAAAGAAUAUGUCUAAGCCAUUUGGUUCACGAUUUUGUCUACCCAAAUUGUUCUGUUUAUUUUGGUUCAUGAUUACAUUUUAUUAUGAUGUUUGGUUUUACGUUUAAAUAUGAAAAAAUAAAAUGAUAAUUUAUAUAUGUUUUAUAAAUUAUUAUUUUUGUAACUGAACUAGAACAUAACUGAAAAAUCAAAUUGACUGAACUGAACAAAUAAAACCCAAAUUAAACUGAUUUAUCCAUCAACACAACUAAACCAAACUAAACUGAACCAAACUGAAUUAAAACCGAACCGGAAAAAAUUAACUUGGGUUGACAUCGGUAAAAUUUUUCUUAAACCCAAAUAAACCAAGCCAAACCGUACCGAACCCA